AUACGUAGGGGGCGAGCGUUGUCCGGAUCUACUGGGUGUAAAGGGCGUGUAGGCGGGCCCGCAAGUCAGAUGUGAAAUCCCGAGGCUUAACUUCGGAACUGCAUCUGAAACUGCGGAUCUUGAGUACUGGAGAGGAAAGUGGAAUUCCUAGUGUAGCGGUGAAAUGCGUAGAGAUUAGGAGGAACACCAGUGGCGAAGGCGGCUUUCUGGACAGUAACUGACGCUGAGGCGCGAAAGCGUUGGGAGCAAACAGGAUUAGAUACCCUGGUAGUCCACGCUGUAAACGAUGAAUAAUAGGUGUAGGGGUCAUUAGACUUCUGUGCCGCAGCAAACGCAAUAAGUAUUCCGCCUGGGGAGUACGACCGCAAGGUUGAAACUCAAAGGAAUUGGCGGGG
This 395-nucleotide ribosomal RNA is filed under the name uncultured bacterium. RNAcentral describes it as "partial 16S ribosomal RNA". It matches the Rfam family "Bacterial small subunit ribosomal RNA", at positions 523 to 918 of the family's 1533-position model. The record is from RNAcentral.